AGUGAACGCUGGCGGUAGGCCUAACACAUGCAAGUCGAACGGCAGCACAGUAAGAGUUUGCUCUUACGGGUGGCGAGUGGCGGACGGGUGAGGAAUACAUCGGAAUCUACUUUUUCGUGGGGGAUAACGUAGGGAAACUUACGCUAAUACCUCAUACGACCUACGGGUGAAAGCAGGGGAGCUUCGGACCUUUCGCGUUUGUAUGAGCUGAUGUCGGAUUAGCUAGUUGGCGGGGUAAAGGCCCACCAAGGCGACGAUCCGUAGCUGGUCUGAGAGGAUGAUCAGCCACACUGGAACUGAGACACGGUCCAGACUCCUACGGGAGGCAGCAGUGGGGAAUAUUGGACAAUGGGCGCAAGCCUGAUGCAGCCAUGCCGCGUGAGUGAAGAAGGCCUUCGGGUUGUAAAGCCCUUUUGUUGGGAAAGAAAAGAAGCAGGUUAAUACCCGGCUGUUCUGACGGUACCCAAAGAGUAAGCACCGGCUAACUUCGUG
This 492-nucleotide ribosomal RNA is filed under the name uncultured bacterium. RNAcentral describes it as "partial 16S ribosomal RNA". It matches the Rfam family "Bacterial small subunit ribosomal RNA", at positions 29 to 507 of the family's 1533-position model. The record is from RNAcentral.